UUACCGAGUUUACAACUCCCAAACCCCUGUGAACAUACCUUAAUGUUGCCUCGGCGGAUCAGCCCGCGCCCCGUAAAACGGGACGGCCCGCCAGAGGACCCAAACUCUAAUGUUUCUUAUUGUAACUUCUGAGUAAAACAAACAAAUAAAUCAAAACUUUCAACAACGGAUCUCUUGGUUCUGGCAUCGAUGAAGAACGCAGCAAAAUGCGAUAAGUAAUGUGAAUUGCAGAAUUCAGUGAAUCAUCGAAUCUUUGAACGCACAUUGCGCCCGCUGGUAUUCCGGCGGGCAUGCCUGUUCGAGCGUCAUUUCAACCCUCAAGCCCUCGGGUUUGGUGUUGGGGAUCGGCUCUGCCUUCUGGCGGUGCCGCCCCCGAAAUACAUUGGCGGUCUCGCUGCAGCCUCCAUUGCGUAGUAGCUAACACCUCGCAACUGGAACGCGGCGCGGCCAUGCCGUAAAACCCCAACUUCUGAAUGUUGACCUCGGAUCAGGUAGGAAUACCCGCUGAACUUAAGCAUAUCA
This 522-nucleotide ribosomal RNA is filed under the name Fusarium cf. tricinctum IPBCC 08.017. RNAcentral describes it as "eukaryotic LSU rRNA". The stretch from base 155 to 308 matches the Rfam family "5.8S ribosomal RNA". The record is from RNAcentral. Lineage: Eukaryota; Fungi; Ascomycota; Sordariomycetes; Hypocreales; Nectriaceae.